This 939-nucleotide ribosomal RNA is filed under the name Cryobacterium soli. RNAcentral describes it as "bacterial SSU rRNA". It matches the Rfam family "Bacterial small subunit ribosomal RNA", at positions 61 to 1006 of the family's 1533-position model. The record is from RNAcentral. Lineage: Bacteria; Bacillati; Actinomycetota; Actinomycetes; Micrococcales; Microbacteriaceae.
GUCGAACGGUGACGGAGGAGCUUGCUUCUUCUGAUCAGUGGCGAACGGGUGAGUAACACGUGAGUAACCUGCCCCAAACUCUGGGAUAAGCACUGGAAACGGUGUCUAAUACCGGAUAUGAGCUUCAGCCGCAUGGCUAGGAGUUGGAAAGAAUUUCGGUUUGGGAUGGACUCGCGGCCUAUCAGCUAGUUGGUGAGGUAAUGGCUCACCAAGGCGACGACGGGUAGCCGGCCUGAGAGGGUGACCGGCCACACUGGGACUGAGACACGGCCCAGACUCCUACGGGAGGCAGCAGUGGGGAAUAUUGCACAAUGGGCGCAAGCCUGAUGCAGCAACGCCGCGUGAGGGACGACGGCCUUCGGGUUGUAAACCUCUUUUAGUAGGGAAGAAGCGUAAUAGUGACGGUACCUGCAGAAAAAGCACCGGCUAACUACGUGCCAGCAGCCGCGGUAAUACGUAGGGUGCAAGCGUUGUCCGGAAUUAUUGGGCGUAAAGAGCUCGUAGGCGGUUUGUCGCGUCUGCUGUGAAAACCCGAGGCUCAACCUCGGGCCUGCAGUGGGUACGGGCAGACUAGAGUGCGGUAGGGGAGAUUGGAAUUCCUGGUGUAGCGGUGGAAUGCGCAGAUAUCAGGAGGAACACCAAUGGCGAAGGCAGAUCUCUGGGCCGUAACUGACGCUGAGGAGCGAAAGCAUGGGGAGCGAACAGGAUUAGAUACCCUGGUAGUCCAUGCCGUAAACGUUGGGAACUAGAUGUGGGGACCAUUCCACGGUCUCCGUGUCGCAGCUAACGCAUUAAGUUCCCCGCCUGGGGAGUACGGCCGCAAGGCUAAAACUCAAAGGAAUUGACGGGGGCCCGCACAAGCGGCGGAGCAUGCGGAUUAAUUCGAUGCAACGCGAAGAACCUUACCAAGGCUUGACAUAUAGAGGAAACGGUUGGAAA